This 1463-nucleotide ribosomal RNA is filed under the name uncultured organism. Its description in RNAcentral is "SSU rRNA". It matches the Rfam family "Bacterial small subunit ribosomal RNA". The record is from RNAcentral.
UGUCGGCGUGCCUAAUACAUGCAAGUAGAACGCUGAAGAGAGGAGCUUGCUCUUCUUGGAUGAGUUGCGAACGGGUGAGUAACGCGUAGGUAACCUGCCUUGUAGCGGGGGAUAACUAUUGGAAACGAUAGCUAAUACCGCAUAACAAUGGAUGACACAUGUCAUUUAUUUGAAAGGGGCAAUUGCUCCACUACAAGAUGGACCUGCGUUGUAUUAGCUAGUAGGUGAGGUAACGGCUCACCUAGGCGACGAUACAUAGCCGACCUGAGAGGGUGAUCGGCCACACUGGGACUGAGACACGGCCCAGACUCCUACGGGAGGCAGCAGUAGGGAAUCUUCGGCAAUGGGGGCAACCCUGACCGAGCAACGCCGCGUGAGCGAAGAAGGUUUUCGGAUCGUAAAGCUCUGUUGUAAGUCAAGAACGAGUGUGAGAGUGGAAAGUUCACACUGUGACGGUAGCUUACCAGAAAGGGACGGCUAACUACGUGCCAGCAGCCGCGGUAAUACGUAGGUCCCGAGCGUUGUCCGGAUUUAUUGGGCGUAAAGCGAGCGCAGGCGGUUUGAUAAGUCUGAAGUUAAAGGCUGUGGCUCAACCAUAGUUCGCUUUGGAAACUGUCAAACUUGAGUGCAGAAGGGGAGAGUGGAAUUCCAUGUGUAGCGGUGAAAUGCGUAGAUAUAUGGAGGAACACCGGUGGCGAAAGCGGCUCCCUGGUCUGUAACUGACGCUGAGGCUCGAAAGCGUGGGGAGCGAACAGGAUUAGAUACCCUGGUAGUCCACGCCGUAAACGAUGAGUGCUAGGUGUUGGAUCCUUUCCGGGAUUCAGUGCCGCAGCUAACGCAUUAAGCACUCCGCCUGGGGAGUACGACCGCAAGGUUGAAACUCAAAGGAAUUGACGGGGGCCCGCACAAGCGGUGGAGCAUGUGGUUUAAUUCGAAGCAACGCGAAGAACCUUACCAGGUCUUGACAUCCCGAUGCUAUUUCUAGAGAUAGAAAGUUACUUCGGUACAUCGGUGACAGGUGGUGCAUGGUUGUCGUCAGCUCGUGUCGUGAGAUGUUGGGUUAAGUCCCGCAACGAGCGCAACCCCUAUUGUUAGUUGCCAUCAUUCAGUUGGGCACUCUAGCGAGACUGCCGGUAAUAAACCGGAGGAAGGUGGGGAUGACGUCAAAUCAUCAUGCCCCUUAUGACCUGGGCUACACACGUGCUACAAUGGUUGGUACAACGAGUUGCGAGUCGGUGACGGCAAGCUAAUCUCUUAAAGCCAAUCUCAGUUCGGAUUGUAGGCUGCAACUCGCCUACAUGAAGUCGGAAUCGCUAGUAAUCGCGGAUCAGCACGCCGCGGUGAAUACGUUCCCGGGCCUUGUACACACCGCCCGUCACACCACGAGAGUUUGUAACACCCGAAGUCGGUGAGGUAACCUUUUGGAGCCAGCCGCCUAAGGUGGGAUAGAUGAUUGGGGUGAA